ACCCACCCUUGCAAACACCUGCUCUGGCUGCUUCUCUGGUCUUGCGAGGGCCACUUAUCAUGGAGCCAGUUUCCAAAAUUCUGCCCUGGUCGGGAGUGUGUCCGAAGCCCGUGUGUCAUGAAAGGGCAGGGUUCCGAGGGACAGCUCGAGGAAGGGACUCCUGACCUUUUUCACUGAGUGUAUGCAACCAGAAUAGCUAGAAUAGCAACUCGCCCUCCAUCGAAGCUGAAAAACCGGUAUUGCCUUGGCCACUAUCGUGUCAGCCUUUCACUUAGCACCUCACACAAGCCACUAGUAAGUGAUUUUUGAUGAAUAAUUGCUAAGCUUGGUGAGCUCAGGUAGCAAUUGAGCCAAUCUCUCACCUAUAUCCACUAGAGGGCAGAACUACACCUGUGGCCAGCUCCUGAGCAUCCUCCAAAGACACCUCCCACCCGCAGUCUGCUCCAAAGAAAAAGCCCCUACGUGUUACAGAUCUGAACCUACACUGUUAGUUGGAAUUGUUACUGUAUAUUGCCAGUCUUCUGGGUUGGAUAUGAACAUGCCAAGGGUGUGCAGUUGAAGAUAAGAAAAGAAAAAGAAAAGCAAGAUGAAUGUCUCUCGGUGCACCCCUGCUCCCAGCAGCAUCAGUAAUACCGGCAGCACUGGCACUACCUGUGAAUUCUGCAGAAAGGCACGCUCUCAGAUCUUCCCGGGACCAACUGAACCAGAAAGCCUCAGGGUGGAUUGAACAAGAUUUCCUAACGAUGUGAAUGCUUGAAGGAGUACUUCGGAUUGAAUCUCAUACAUGCAAAGCAGAUACUUUACCACUGAGCUCUCCAAAUUUGACUCAUUUACACCAUGGAAAAAUACAAAUGUGCUAGGAAGGUAAAAAUGCCAACAUUGCACAUUUUGAUUAAAGCAUUUAAUUUAAGGAAAAUAAAAAUCAAUUUUCACUGAACAA
Peromyscus eremicus (cactus mouse) is the source of this 940-nucleotide long non-coding RNA. RefSeq lists it as uncharacterized. Lineage: Eukaryota; Metazoa; Chordata; Mammalia; Rodentia; Cricetidae. The transcript is spliced from 4 exons. The record is from RefSeq and is a predicted model, not a curated record.